Molecule: ribosomal RNA, 801 nt
Filed under: uncultured bacterium
Lineage: Bacteria
Description: bacterial SSU rRNA
Rfam family: Bacterial small subunit ribosomal RNA
Source: RNAcentral
AGAGUUUGAUCCUGGCUCAGAUUGAACGCUAGCGGGAUGCUUUACACAUGCAAGUCGAACGGCAGCACGAGAGAGCUUGCUCUCUUGGUGGCGAGUGGCGGACGGGUGAGUAAUAUAUCGGAACGUGCCCAGUAGCGGGGGAUAACUACUCGAAAGAGUGGCUAAUACCGCAUACGCCCUACGGGGGAAAGGGGGGGAUCGCAAGACCUCUCACUAUUGGAGCGGCCGAUAUCGGAUUAGCUAGUUGGUGGGGUAAAGGCUCACCAAGGCAACGAUCCGUAGCUGGUUUGAGAGGACGACCAGCCACACUGGGACUGAGACACGGCCCAGACUCCUACGGGAGGCAGCAGUGGGGAAUUUUGGACAAUGGGGGAAACCCUGAUCCAGCCAUCCCGCGUGUAUGAUGAAGGCCUUCGGGUUGUAAAGUACUUUUGGCAGAGAAGAAAAGGCAUCCCCUAAUACGGGAUGCUGCUGACGGUAUCUGCAGAAUAAGCACCGGCUAACUACGUGCCAGCAGCCGCGGUAAUACGUAGGGUGCAAGCGUUAAUCGGAAUUACUGGGCGUAAAGCGUGUGUAGGCGGUUCGGAAAGAAAGAUGUGAAAUCCCAGGGCUCAACCUUGGAACUGCAUUUUUAACUGCCGAGCUAGAGUAUGUCAGAGGGGGGUAGAAUUCCACGUGUAGCAGUGAAAUGCGUAGAUAUGUGGAGGAAUACCGAUGGCGAAGGCAGCCCCCUGGGAUAAUACUGACGCUCAGACACGAAAGCGUGGGGAGCAAAAAGGAUUAGAUACCCUGGUAGUCCAC